GAUGAACGCUGGCGGCGUGCUUAACACAUGCAAGUCGAACGAAGCACUUUAUUACAAUUUCUUCGGAAUGACGAUUUAGUGACUGAGUGGCGGACGGGUGAGUAACGCGUGGGUAACCUGCCUUAUACAGGGGGAUAACAGUUAGAAAUGACUGCUAAUACCGCAUAAGCGCACAGGAUUGCAUGAUCUGGUGUGAAAAGGUGGCCUCUACCUGUAAGCUAUCGCCUGAAGAGGGGUUUGCGUCUGAUUAGCUGGUUGGAGGGGUAACGGCCCACCAAAGCGACGAUCAGUAGCCGGCCUGAGAGGGUGAACGGCCACAUUGGGACUGAGACACGGCCCAAACUCCUACGGGAGGCAGCAGUGGGGAAUAUUGCACAAUGGGGGAAACCCUGAUGCAGCGACGCCGCGUGAGUGAAGAAGUAUUCGGUAUGUAAAGCUCUAUCAGCAGGGAAGAAAGUGACGGUACCUGAAUAAGAAGCCCCGG
This 484-nucleotide ribosomal RNA is filed under the name uncultured bacterium. RNAcentral's name for it is "bacterial SSU rRNA". It matches the Rfam family "Bacterial small subunit ribosomal RNA", at positions 28 to 496 of the family's 1533-position model. The record is from RNAcentral.